GGACAAUGGGCGGAAGCCUGAUCCAGCAACGCCGCGUGAGGGAUGACGGCCUUCGGGUUGUAAACCUCUUUCAGCACCGACGAAGCGCAAGUGACGGUAGGUGCAGAAGAAGGACCGGCCAACUACGUGCCAGCAGCCGCGGUAAUACGUAGGGUCCGAGCGUUGUCCGGAAUUAUUGGGCGUAAAGGGCUCGUAGGCGGUUUGUCGCGUCGGGAGUGAAAACACCGGGCUUAACUCGGUGCUUGCUUUCGAUACGGGCAGACUGGAGGUAUGCAGGGGAGAACGGAAUUCCUGGUGUAGCGGUGAAAUGCGCAGAUAUCAGGAGGAACACCGGUGGCGAAGGCGGUUCUCUGGGCAUUACCUGACGCUGAGGAGCGAAAGUGUGGGGAGCGAACAGGAUUAGAUACCCUGGUAGUCCACACCGUAAACGUUGGGCGCUAGGUGUGGGAUCCAUUCCACGGGUUCCGUGCCGUAGCUAACGCAUUAAGCGCCCCGCCUGGGGAGUACGGCCGCAAGGCUA
This 520-nucleotide ribosomal RNA is filed under the name uncultured Actinomycetes bacterium. RNAcentral describes it as "bacterial SSU rRNA". It matches the Rfam family "Bacterial small subunit ribosomal RNA", at positions 366 to 896 of the family's 1533-position model. The record is from RNAcentral. Lineage: Bacteria; Bacillati; Actinomycetota; Actinomycetes.